RNAcentral lists this transfer RNA (66 nucleotides) under Apogonia splendida. RNAcentral's name for it is "tRNA-Asp". The record is from RNAcentral. Lineage: Eukaryota; Metazoa; Arthropoda; Insecta; Coleoptera; Scarabaeidae.
AAAAAUUUAGUUAAAAUAUAACGUUAGCUUGUCAAGUUAAAAUUAUCAUAUACUUGAUAAUUUUUG